GGCGGACGGGUGAGUAACACGUGGGUAACCUACCUAUAAGACUGGGAUAACUUCGGGAAACCGGAGCUAAUACCGGAUAACAUUUGGAACCGCAUGGUUCUAAAGUGAAAGAUGGUUUUGCUAUCACUUAUAGAUGGACCCGCGCCGUAUUAGCUAGUUGGUAAGGUAACGGCUUACCAAGGCAACGAUACGUAGCCGACCUGAGAGGGUGAUCGGCCACACUGGAACUGAGACACGGUCCAGACUCCUACGGGAGGCAGCAGUAGGGAAUCUUCCGCAAUGGGCGAAAGCCUGACGGAGCAACGCCGCGUGAGUGAUGAAGGGUUUCGGCUCGUAAAACUCUGUUAUUAGGGAAGAACAAACGUGUAAGUAACUAUGCACGUCUUGACGGUACCUAAUCAGAAAGCCACGGCUAACUACGUGCCAGCAGCCGCGGUAAUACGUAGGUGGCAAGCGUUAUCCGGAAUUAUUGGGCGUAAAGCGCGCGUAGGCGGUUUCUUAAGUCUGAUGUGAAAGCCCACGGCUCAACCGUGGAGGGUCAUUGGAAACUGGGAAACUUGAGUGCAGAAGAGGAAAGUGGAAUUCCAUGUGUAGCGGUGAAAUGCGCAGAGAUAUGGAGGAACACCAGUGGCGAAGGCGACUUUCUGGUCUGUAACUGACGCUGAUGUGCGAAAGCGUGGGGAUCAAACAGGAUUAGAUACCCUGGUAGUCCACGCCGUAAACGAUGAGUGCUAAGUGUUAGGGGGUUU
Molecule: ribosomal RNA, 749 nt
Filed under: Staphylococcus saprophyticus
Lineage: Bacteria; Bacillati; Bacillota; Bacilli; Caryophanales; Staphylococcaceae
Description: bacterial SSU rRNA
Rfam family: Bacterial small subunit ribosomal RNA
Source: RNAcentral